GGACGUGAGGGUGACAUGACAGCAAUAUCUGUCACCAAUUGAUCCCCAGGGUUGGUUUGGCUGAUCUGGCUGGCUAAGCAGGUGUCCCCUUCCUCACUGCUCCAUGUGUAUCCCUCCCAAAGAUGUGCACUUGGUCAAUGAGAAUGACCUUCCCUGAUAGAGGAAGAACCUUCUUCAGUCAAGGGUAUAUGGGUAGCAAGCAGCACGCCCCUACCAGGACCUCCCAGCCAGCUCUUUGAUAAGAAAAGCCACCAGGUGGCCACAUACAAACUGGUCAUAACUGCCACUUACUGAUGUCUCCUGUGUGCCAGGCAUUUAAAU
This is an unclassified non-coding RNA of Marmota marmota marmota (Alpine marmot), 321 nucleotides long. Its record names the gene 7SK. It matches the Rfam family "7SK RNA". From Rfam's summary of the family: 7SK was discovered as an abundant small nuclear RNA in the mid-70s but a possible function has only recently been suggested. Two independent studies have found that 7SK RNA binds the CDK9/cyclin T complex (known as elongation factor P-TEFb). Lineage: Eukaryota; Metazoa; Chordata; Mammalia; Rodentia; Sciuridae. The record is from Ensembl.